This 275-nucleotide ribosomal RNA is filed under the name uncultured bacterium. RNAcentral's name for it is "partial 16S ribosomal RNA". It matches the Rfam family "Bacterial small subunit ribosomal RNA", at positions 399 to 691 of the family's 1533-position model. The record is from RNAcentral.
GCGUGAGUGAAGAAGGCCUUAGGGUUGUAAAGCUCUUUCAGUGGUGACGAUGAUGACGGUAGCCACAGAAGAAGCCCCGGCUAACUCCGUGCCAGCAGCCGCGGUAAUACGGAGGGGGCAAGCGUUGUUCGGAAUUACUGGGCGUAAAGGGCGCGUAGGCGGCCUGGCAAGUUAGAGGUGAAAGCCCCGGGCUCAACCUGGGAAUAGCCUUUAAAACUGCUGAGCUUGAGUCCGGAAGAGGAUGGCGGAAUUCCCAGUGUAGAGGUGAAAUUCGU